UAUAGAGCUGCCAGCCUGACUAGUUCACUGUAAUGGAAAGGAUAAUGUCUUGUCUGCUUCCAUUCAUACCAGAAAGAAGCAAAUACAUGUGUUGGUGUGCCUAGUAGGAGCUCAUCAAGAUUAGGCAUCACAACAGCCACUUUGAAGCCAUCCUUCACAAAACCACUAAAGAAAUUAAGUUCGAUUGUCUCAGAGAAAACCACCACACAAGCAUCCCGGUGACGGUUAAGUACACUCUCAAGUCCCCUCUGAUACCGAGCCGUAAACAUCCAUGCUGGAGAAUUCCAGACCAUGAAAACUCUCAUAGUACAUUUUGCUUUCCUGAAAAAUGAGUCCAUAAAGUUAGUGAAAGACAACCGGGGGUGCAAGCCCGGAAAGUAACCCCAUCUCUUCCCAUCAGCAAAGACUAGCCCAGAAACUUCACCUCGGGAAUCAUCUUCCACAACUUUCAUAUUACCAUUCCUUAUAUCUUCCUUACUCCUAGGAGCUGAAUCUCCACCACUAUCAUGAACAACUCUUUUUCCAAUUCUAGCAUCAUCGUUUAAAGUUCUACGCUUCACUCUCUUCCCUCUAUUCACAUCCUCAUCAUUAGUUUUCACCAAAUCACUAUUGAAUUUCAACUCCUUUGACUCGAAAACAUCAUUUUUGGCCAAUCCCGCCAUCUUCUGUAACUCCAAAGCAUCAUUAACCAACUCAGAUUUUGUCAAUUCAGACACUGAAAGUGGUUUUUUCACCAGAAAUGGAACUUUCUUAAACUCAUUCAUCAACCCUUUUAACACAAUCUUAUCCCCUUUAGUCAAUCCAGUAGUCCCUGCUCCAUCAGGAUCCUGCAACAUGGGAUUAUUAUUUGGAUUUAACGCCUCCAGAUUUGACUUGAACAUUCUGUCACGCCUCAAAAAAUCACUCUUCUUUUCAAACCACUCACCCCACCCUUCCCUCAAAGGUGAUCCUUUUAGUAACAAAGCAUCUUCAACACUCUCAAUUUCGCUCAACUUCAUCCUCAUUUGCACAUCCACUGGAAGAUCAUCCGAUCCAAACGCGGCCUUAGAUUCAUCACUCUUAAACCCUAAUCCUAACUUCAUCCUCGAUUCAAAAUUAACGUAAUCUUCCCAUUCCUCAAUUGAUCGUUUGUUAAACGCUCUCCGUACAACUCCGUGCCUCUGAUCGUAGAAAUAUGUCGACGAAACCCUAGGGUAUUGAUUGAUGAUUUCUUCAUCGUCCUCUUCGGAUUCAUUGGAUAAGAGGAACUCAUCAUCGUUAUUGUUGUUACUGUCAGCAACGUCGAGCUCGUCAAUGCGGUCAUCUGAGGAGCGGUAAUCAGCGUCAGCUAAAUCGUCGACGAGAGGGUUGUUCAGUGAAAUGGUGUCGUAUUGGAGGGGAUGCGGAUGGGGAUUGUUAGGUUGGAGGAAGAAGUUGAGGCGACUGUAGAGGAGUGAAACAGAGAGGAGGAGGAGAAUCGCUGCCGCUAAGGCGCAAAUGUGCGCGCCGUAAAGCGGACGCCGCCGCGUUCGGAGGUUCCGAAGCAUGUGGUACGGCGGGCGGUAGGCGGUGGCGACUUCAGAUGUCA
This 1567-nucleotide unclassified non-coding RNA is filed under the name Hevea brasiliensis (rubber tree). The record is from RNAcentral. Lineage: Eukaryota; Viridiplantae; Streptophyta; Magnoliopsida; Malpighiales; Euphorbiaceae.